RNAcentral lists this ribosomal RNA (372 nucleotides) under uncultured organism. Its description in RNAcentral is "bacterial SSU rRNA". It matches the Rfam family "Bacterial small subunit ribosomal RNA", at positions 526 to 896 of the family's 1533-position model. The record is from RNAcentral.
CAGAGGUGGCAAGCGUUGUUCGGAAUUACUGGGCGUAAAGGGCGAGUAGGUGGCCAUCUAAGUCAGACGUGAAAUCCCCCGGCUUAACCUGGGAACUGCGUCUGAUACUGGACGGCUCGAGUAUGGGAGAGGGAGGUAGAAUUCCAGGUGUAGCGGUGAAAUGCGUAGAUAUCUGGAGGAAUACCGGUGGCGAAGGCGGCCUCCUGGACCAUUACUGACACUGAUCCGCGAAAGCUAGGGGAGCAAACGGGAUUAGAUACCCCGGUAGUCCUAGCCCUAAACGAUGAAUGCUUGGUGUGGCGGGUAUCGAUCCCUGCCGUGCCGAAGCUAACGCAUUAAGCAUUCCGCCUGGGGAGUACGGUCGCAAGGCUG